This 1486-nucleotide long non-coding RNA is filed under the name Canis lupus familiaris (dog). Its description in RNAcentral is "lncRNA (ENSCAFG00000059177.1)". Lineage: Eukaryota; Metazoa; Chordata; Mammalia; Carnivora; Canidae. The record is from RNAcentral.
ACCUUCCCGAGGCAGCAGCUUCACUGCGGGGCAGCCGCCUCCAGGGCCCCUUAAGCGAGGCCAUGAAGGAGGAGUGAGUCACCAACCGCGACAUCCUCCUUUCCUGUUCACAGAGAGAGCGACCCGGGCUGUCACUAGGAGAUGCUGGGGCAAUUUUUCACGGGUGCGCGGGCAGCUGGGGACCAGGAUGCUUCUUCCUCCCUCACCCGUUCAGCAACUGCAGCCUCGCCCAGCAGGAAGCAGACUCUCUUGAAGGAUCAGUCAAGAAACUCAGGAAACCAUCUGAUCCCAUAUUUUCAAAUAAAUAGCUUUAGAACCAUAACACCUGAAGCAGGUAUGUACAAGGUAGAAAACAGACUCAAGGGGGGAUCCCUGGGUGGCUCAGUGGUUUGGCGCCUGCCUUUGGUCCAGGGAGCAAUCCUGGGGACCGGGGAUCGAGUCCCACGUCGGGCUCCCUGCAUGGAGCCUGCUUCUCCCUCUGCCUGUGUCUCUGCCUCUCUCUCUCUAUGUCUAUCAUGAAUAAAUAAAUAAAAUCUUUAAAAAAAACAGAAAGAAAACAGACUCAAAUAGAAAGUAGAAGCAGGGACUGGAAGCCCUGGCCACUCUCUACACCCUCUUUUCUCCCCUGGCUUCCAGCAAGUCCCUCCAUCGAGAUCAUAUAGUUCAGUUUGUUUUUACUUUUCAGACCAAUGAGCCGAGGGCCAGGGGGGUCACAGUCUCCUGCUGAGGAUACACAGCUCGAUGAUGACAAAGAUGGGACUGGAACAUGGCAGAGACAGGUCACCAUCCUCAGAGAAUUGUUUCUCUGUUCAAAUGACCAAAAAAAAAAAAAAAAAAAAUCCCAAAGAUUCCUGGAGCUGCUGUGAAGAGACAUAGACCAAAGCCCAGGUCCUGAUCCACUCCCGCGGCCUCACUCGCUCUGCCCAGCCAGAGCUGCUGCGUGGGGCUGUGCACACUCCCUCCUGCUUCCAGAGCUUGGAUUCUGUGACUGCAACACAUCUCAGAGAAAGCGGGGCCACUCUGGAAAAAUGUGCGGAGGUUCCCCAAAGGGGUACAAAUAGAGCUGCCCUACGACCCAGCAAUUGCAUUGCUGGGGAUUCACCCCAAAGAUACGGAUGCAGUGAAACGCCGGGACACCUGCACCCCGAUGUUCACAGCAGCCAUGUCCACAAUAGCCACACUGUGGAAGGAGCCUCGGUGUCCAUGGACAGAUAAUAGAUAGAGAAGCUGUGGUCUAUGGAUACAGUGGGAUAUUCCUCAGCCAUUAGAAACGACAAAUACCCCCCAUUUGCUUCAAGGUGGAUGGACCUGGAGGGUAUGAUGCUGAGUGAAUAAGUCAAUCGGAGAAGGACAGUUAUUAUAUGGUCUCACUCAUACGGGGAAUAUAAGAAAUAGGGAAAGGGAAUAAAGGGGAAAGGAGAGAAAAUGAGUGGGAAAUAUCAGGGAGGGAGACAGAACAUGAGAGACUCCUAAGUCUGGGAAAUGA